This is a long non-coding RNA of Brassica napus (rape), 1481 nucleotides long. RefSeq lists it as uncharacterized. NCBI's taxonomy places the organism in Eukaryota, Viridiplantae, Streptophyta, Magnoliopsida, Brassicales, Brassicaceae. The record is from RefSeq and is a predicted model, not a curated record. The transcript has 4 exons.
UUCUCUCCUCCUGAGGUGACACGUCAGCACUUUUUAAAGGGGCCAAAUUUAUUUUCGUAUAACACUUACGUCGUCCUGGCUAUAACAACUAAAGUCUACUUGGCCCAGUGGUAUAACCUGCUCAUAGUAAAGCUUGAGUGUACGGGUUCGAAUCCCCCUGGCUUCCUUUUUAAUUUUUUUUCUAUUACACCUUCAAGGCUCCUUAAGGUGUCCACGUGUGCACUUUGUGGGUCCCACCUUUAGUUUUCUUUUUAUUUUUUCUUCUUUUUGUCGGGUGAGCUGCGAUCUGUAACCAUAAUGGGCUUCGAAUUUUUUUUUAGGGAUUCAUUGUUACCGUGCUUUGUCUCUUCCACUUCUCCUUCUCCGUUAAUCUUUGACUCCAGGGACAGUGGAUGCUUCUCCAACUUUUAGCCUCCCCUAUCAUUCAACGGGUUUCUCUUAAUUUUUCGCAAAAAGCAAUUAUCUCAAUGCGAAAGGCAGAGAUAAAACGUUAAGGGCAGAGCCCGACCCCUUCUUCUUCUUCGUGAAAAAGCUUCUGAAGCCCAGAAAAAGGAAGUAGUUUUAUAUUAAAUCUACUAGAUUUUUCAUCAGGUAAUUGACCCUAAAGCGAGCUUCUUUCACGUCUUCCCUUUUCAUCAUCUCAUCGUUCCAACUCCAUAUCUAUCACCCUCCCCCACUCUCUAUUCAUCUCAAAGGUCAAUUUCUUCUACCUUUAUCUCUCUUUGGGCCGUUCAGAUUUUUCAAUCCUGUUCCGGUGAUUGAAGAAAUGUUCACUAUAUGCUUCUCAGACCGGAAACGCUCUUGAUGCUGCAGAGGGUAUUAGCCGUGAAGCUGAACGCCGAGGCUGUCCUGCGUCUAUCGUCUCCAACGACGAAUUCGACUCGGGCAAGGAGACUCUCCAGAUUCUUUUAAGGAAUUUUGGAGGUUUCUUCUUCAAAGAAACUUGGGAAACUCUUGGUUGCAACGAGUUCGCUUUGCAGUGUUUGGGCUAGGUGAUUCAGGUUAUCAGAAGUACAAUGUAAGUGCAUCUGCCACAUUGUGUCAUCUGUUUCACGUUCUUCUCAACAUACAUUUUAUUUCUGGUUCUGUUUUGAUGUAUUCAUCAAUAUGAAGGAAAAAAGUAGGCUUUACCGAGUAAUAAGUAUACUAGCUAACUAAAGAUUCCCACAACCAGAAAUCUUGAGAUGUGUCUGAAUUAUUGUUCCCUCCAAGAGAAGAUUUCUCAGAUGGUUCAGAUCGAACGCAGCGGCGCCACAACUGAUGUCAUGAAGAACUACUUCAUUGGGAGUGUGUUGAGCGGUGGAGGAAGUGUGCCAUCACCAAAGGCCACACCUGAAGCUUGGGUGAACAUGGUCAACGAGAUUCAGAAGGCUGCUCUUUCCACCCGCCUUGGGAUCCCCAUGAUCUAUGGGAUUGAUGCUGUCCACGGUCACAACAACAUGAAUGGCGCCACCAUUUUCCUUCACAAUGUGCGCCUUGGA